RNAcentral lists this ribosomal RNA (430 nucleotides) under uncultured bacterium. RNAcentral describes it as "partial 16S ribosomal RNA". It matches the Rfam family "Bacterial small subunit ribosomal RNA", at positions 355 to 776 of the family's 1533-position model. The record is from RNAcentral.
UGGGGAAUAUUGCGCAAUGGGCGAAAGCUUGACGCAGCAACGCCGCGUGAGUGAAGAAGGUCUUCGGAUUGUAAAACUCUGUCGGAAGGGACAAAUAUUUAUUGGUCUAAUACAUCAGUAGAUUGAUGGUACCUUUAGAGGAAGCACCGGCUAACUCCGUGCCAGCAGCCGCGGUAAUACGGAGGGUGCAAGCGUUGUUCGGAAUUACUGGGCGUAAAGCGCGUGUAGGCGGUCGAAGAAGUCGGGUGUGAAAGCCCUUCGCUUAACGAGGGAAAUGCGCCCGAAACCAUUCGACUAGAGUGCAAGAGGGGCUCGUGGAAUUCCUGGUGUAGCAGUGAAAUGCGUAGAUACCAGGAGGAACACCGGUGGCGAAAGCGACGAGCUAGAUUGCAACUGACGCUGAGACGCGAAAGCGUGGGGAGCAAACAGG